RNAcentral lists this long non-coding RNA (199 nucleotides) under Elaeis guineensis (African oil palm). RNAcentral describes it as "long non-coding RNA (EGUI_LNC035358)". The record is from RNAcentral. Lineage: Eukaryota; Viridiplantae; Streptophyta; Magnoliopsida; Arecales; Arecaceae.
UUCCUCCCCCUAAUUUUUUGUAUUUCUUUUCUUCUUCUACUAAGCCGAUUGUUGUCACCAAAUGUGCUUAUGUUUGGGCUAGCAAGGGCCAGAGCUGUUGCCGCUUUUGACAGAGGUCUCCACCAUAGAGGUGGCUGGCCCUAGAGCGCUCCUCCUCUAUUUUGAGAAGGGACCACCUUGGGUCUCUUUCUCUCUUCCC